UGGUCGUGCGGGAAAUGGCCGUGCUCGAACGCGCUUGACGGGCGUGGUGAACGCGACGGCUCAGACCGUCGCGACCAGC
This 79-nucleotide transfer RNA is filed under the name Burkholderia lata. Its description in RNAcentral is "tRNA-Val". Lineage: Bacteria; Pseudomonadati; Pseudomonadota; Betaproteobacteria; Burkholderiales; Burkholderiaceae. The record is from RNAcentral.